Molecule: ribosomal RNA, 220 nt
Filed under: uncultured bacterium
Lineage: Bacteria
Description: partial 16S ribosomal RNA
Rfam family: Bacterial small subunit ribosomal RNA
Source: RNAcentral
UAAUGCUUGGGAAUCUAGCUUAUGGAGGGGGAUAACUACGGGAAACUGUAGCUAAUACCGCGUAGAAUCGAGAGAUGAAAGUGUGGGACCUUCGGGCCACAUGCCAUAGGAUGAGCCCAAGUGGGAUUAGGUAGCUGGUGAGGUAAAGGCUCACCAAGCCGACGAUCUCUAGCUGGUCUGAGAGGAUGACCAGCCACACUGGGACUGAGACACGGCCCAG